This 508-nucleotide ribosomal RNA is filed under the name uncultured bacterium. RNAcentral's name for it is "bacterial SSU rRNA". It matches the Rfam family "Bacterial small subunit ribosomal RNA", at positions 28 to 524 of the family's 1533-position model. The record is from RNAcentral.
GAUGAACGCUAGCGAUAGGCCUAACACAUGCAAGUCGAGGGGCAGCACAUGAAGUAGCGAUACGGAUGGUGGCGACCGGCGCACGGGUGAGUAACGCGUAUGCAAUCUACCUACAACAAGGGGAUAACCCGUUGAAAGACGGACUAAUACCCUAUAAUACAGGGGUCCCGCAUGGGAAUAUUUGUUAAAGAUUCAUCGGUUGUAGAUGAGCAUGCGUUCCAUUAGCUAGUUGGUGAGGUAACGGCCCACCAAGGCAACGAUGGAUAGGGGAACUGAGAGGUUUAUCCCCCACACUGGUACUGAGACACGGACCAGACUCCUACGGGAGGCAGCAGUGAGGAAUAUUGGUCAAUGGACGCAAGUCUGAACCAGCCACGUCGCGUGAAGGAAGACGGCCCUAUGGGUUGUAAACUUCUUUUGUAAGGGAAUAAAGUGAGUCACGAGUGGCUUUAUUGCAUGUACCUUACGAAUAAGGAUCGGCUAACUCCGUGCCAGCAGCCGCGGUAAA